Long non-coding RNA from Callorhinchus milii (elephant shark), 472 nucleotides. RefSeq lists it as uncharacterized. NCBI's taxonomy places the organism in Eukaryota, Metazoa, Chordata, Chondrichthyes, Chimaeriformes, Callorhinchidae. The record is from RefSeq and is a predicted model, not a curated record. The transcript is spliced from 3 exons.
GAUAGGCUGAAACUGGGGCAGGCUUGUUUGUCAAGUGACCAGCGCAGAGGACAUUAGGUUCAUGCAGCCCUGAGGGAGAUUGUUUUUGAUGACGGAUGUUGAGGUUGGAAUCAGUAAGUUUGCCCUACCUGCCCAACACACACCCAUUUACCUGCCUCGAUGAGAGAUUGGAGUUGACGAAAGCAAAAGUGCUUCCGUAGAGCAGCCAGAGUGAGAGAAGAAGGUGCAGGGGGAAAUGUGCUGAACACGCUAGAACAGGCAAGCUUCCACCAAAGACACCAGAGUUUGCCGGGGUGAGGAUGCUGAAGCUCGGCUGGAAAUGCCGAUUCCUGAAGUCGCAGAUGUUCAUGGCCUCCAGCGUCAGAUACACCAGGUGAGUUGUGUGGUUUAUGUGCCCUCUGUCACCUCCUAGAACAUUUCCAACCUGUCCGCUCCCUAUGCUUCCACAUCCCCUGCCCGCUCUACCAUUGGC